UAGAGUUUGAUCCUGGCUCAGAUUGAACGCUGGCGGCAGGCCUAACACAUGCAAGUCGAGCGGUAACACAGAGGAGCUUGCUCCUUGGGUGACGAGCGGCGGACGGGUGAGUAAUGCCUGGGGAUCUGCCCGAUAGAGGGGGAUAACUACGGGAAACUGUAGCUAAUACCGCAUAAUGUCUACGGACCAAAGUGGGGGCUCUUCGGACCUCAUGCUAUCGGAUGAACCCAGGUGGGAUUAGCUAGUUGGUGAGGUAAUGGCUCACCAAGGCGGCGAUCUCUAACUGGUUUGAGAGAAUGACCAGUCACACUGGAACUGAGACACGGUCCAGACUCCUACGGGAGGCAGCAGUGGGGAAUAUUGCACAAUGGGCGCAAGCCUGAUGCAGCCAUGCCGCGUGUGUGAAGAAGGCCUUCGGGUUGUAAAGCACUUUCAGCGGGGGGGAAGGGUCACUAGUUAAUACCUAGUGGCAUUGACGUUACUCGCAGAAGAAGCACCGGCUAACUCCGUGCCAGCAGCCGCGGUAAUACGGAGGGUGCAAGCGUUAAUCGGAAUUACUGGGCGUAAAGCGCACGCAGGCGGUUUGUUAAGUCAGAUGUGAAAUCCCCGAGCUCAACUUGGGAACUGCAUUUGAAACUGGCAAGCUAGAGUCUUGUAGAGGGGGGUAGAAUUCCAGGUGUAGCGGUGAAAUGCGUAGAGAUCUGGAGGAAUACCGGUGGCGAAGGCGGCCCCCUGGACAAAGACUGACGCUCAGGUGCGAAAGCGUGGGGAGCAAAAAGGAUUAGAUACCCUGGUAGUCCACGCUGUAAAC
RNAcentral lists this ribosomal RNA (811 nucleotides) under uncultured bacterium. Its description in RNAcentral is "bacterial SSU rRNA". It matches the Rfam family "Bacterial small subunit ribosomal RNA", at positions 1 to 807 of the family's 1533-position model. The record is from RNAcentral.